UACGUAGGUGGCAAGCGUUGUCCGGAAUCACUGGGCGUAAAGCGCGCGCAGGCGGCGAUCUACGUCUGGGGUGAAAGCCCGGAGCUCAACUCCGGGACUGCCUUGGAUACGGGAUCGCUUGAGAAUUGGAGAGGCAAGGGGAAUUCCACGUGUAGCGGUGAAAUGCGUAGAUAUCGGGAGGAACAUCAGUGGCGAAGGCGGCUACCUGGCCCAAUACUGACACUCAGGUGCGACAGCGUGGGGAGCAAACAGG
RNAcentral lists this ribosomal RNA (253 nucleotides) under uncultured bacterium. RNAcentral describes it as "partial 16S ribosomal RNA". It matches the Rfam family "Bacterial small subunit ribosomal RNA", at positions 524 to 776 of the family's 1533-position model. The record is from RNAcentral.